AGGACAUAUUUAAUUUCCAAUGCGUGUAGCUACGUGUCGUUGAGUUUGGAUCAUCUCAUUCUUAUGUUUGGCCUUUCUAACACACAAGUUCACAGCAUUGUGAGUAAGAUGAUGAUCACAGAGGAAUUGCAAGCAAGCUGGGACCAACCUGCAAAGUGUAUAAUAUUCCAUAGUAUGGAGCAAACAAGAGUGCAGACCCUCUCUUUCCAGCUUUCGGACAAACUCAAUGUUCUUGCUGAUAGCAAUGAAAGAGCAUAUGAGGUCCGAACAGGUGGUAGUUUGGAUGGGCUUCCUUCAAGACGGCGGACAGAUGGUCAGGAUUAUUCUGGAAAAUGGCAAGAUAAUAUCUUCACAUCACAAGGAAGGCAAGGUGGCGGUGGAGGACGUACAGGUUAUACUGGAAGAUUUGGGGGCUCUACACAAUCUUCGGUGGGAGUAUUCUCAAGGGACAAGGGAGUUGGAGGAGGGUAUGGAAUUCGGGGCACCGGUGGUGGUGCUCGGAAUCAAGAUGGAAGACAUUCAUAUCAAACAGGAUUGUCUAUGAAAGGAAGGCAGGCAGAUGCUUCAAGUCGUAUGGUUAGUCUUAGCAGGGGUGACAGAUUUUAAUGAAUGACUGUCUGACUUGGUAUUUUUUGCUUAUUGGCAAUUUUCUUAUAGCAUCGAUGAGGAUUAAAUCAUGAUCUUGAUAUAUUUUGUUUCUUCAAAUUAAACCAGUUUUAAGUUAUUGAUAAGUCAUGAUGAUGUUCUUGAUAUUAGAUUUAAUAAUUAUAAACUUUUAAUACUAUUCUGUUUUAUGUUGAAGUUCAAUUAUUCAUGCUUGUGUGAUUGUGUUUACAUUUUGCAUUAGCUUUUAAAUCUCAGUUUAGUUAUUUUUUUAGCGAGCUCUAUUGAAGUUCUUUUAUAUUGCAGUAACAUAUGGUAGCAGCUCUUCGUCGCCAUAUCAAUCCUGCAAUCAUUUAUCUGNNNNNNNNNNNNNNNNNNNNNNNNNNNNNNNNNNNNNNNNNNNNNNNNNNNNNNNNNNNNNNNNNNNNNNNNNNNNNNNNNNNNNNNNNNNNNNNNNNNNGUUUCUUCAAAUCAAACCAGUUUUAAGUUCUCGAUCAUAAUGCUGUUCUUGAUAAAAGAUUCUAUAAUUAUAAAGAUUUUUAUACAAUUCUAUUUUAUUUUGAAGUCGAAUAAUUUAUGUUUGUGUUUAAAAGAUUGUUGUUUUGAUUCUCUUCAAUUUUUGUUGUUUGGAUGGUGGAUGGGUUAUCAAUACGUUCUUCAUCUUCCACAAAUAUUGAUUUGUUUUGGUUUAAUUCUUAUUCAGGACAUAACAAGUUAUCAUCCUCAAAUACAAAUACUGAUGAGUUGAAUUUAUUUAUUUAUUUUAUAUAUGAACCAGUCUUCAUAUUCUACAAGUCCCUGCACACCAGAAUUAAACACACCAAACUACUCUUGAGUCUUGACCAAAGACAAGAGAUGUUAUUUACUGAUUUUAUUUAAGUACAACAUCAUGAUACUAAUCAACUACUAACAGUUGACAAAUGAGUAGCUAACUGUCAUAUGCCCCAUUUGAUAGCCAUUGCCAUCAGUAUCAAUUGCUUUAAAUGCAUUCCAAUCAAGAUCGAGGCCGCCGUUGGCGCAUUGGUCCACUAUCCUCACGGUGAUCGAAUUCCCUGUCCUAGUGUUGGUCACCUGCAGGGAUUUGAUGAGAAAUUGAAAAGAGGGUGGGAGAUAAAGAAGCAUGUAUAGAGCUAAAAAAAUCGACAUACUCUCAGACAUCGACCGCAAGAGGCUUGGCCACGCGGUCCAACAGGACCACAGAAUGCGGUCCAAUCAUAUUGUUUACGCCAUGAAAGAGGUUUAUCAGCAUCCCAUGUAGAACAAUAUGCACUGACUGCCCUCAGGUUCCAGUUGUUCUGUUGGGGAUAGUAGUAGUGGUAUGUUGCCCGGAUGUUUGAAGCAGACUGUGCAGUUGUUAAAACUGCCAUGCAACUGAUAGCUAAAAAAACUGCAACCACGGCAGCAGACCAAGUAACCUUCUUCUCCAUCAUCAUCCUCUGAUCGAUCUUCGAUCCUUGUAAUUAAUAUGAAUUGAGUGCCUCCCCUCCCACUGAUGACUGAUGUGGAAUUUAUAGGGUAGAAAAGUAGAAUUAGUCAUAUUAUUGGAAUGGAAAUUCUAAGCAUACUGCUGUUCCAAAUCGGAAACUCCAGUGAAUCAUAUUGAUGUUUUGUGAGAAGAAAAUUUGCAUUCUAAUGUUGUCAUGUUUCUAUUUGCCAUCUAAAUUUCUUUGGAUCUUUCAUUAUAAUAUUAAGGGCGGCUAUUAAUUGUUGUGGAAUUCUGGCAGGAGGGCCAUUAUCGAACAGUGAAGAUUGUAGAAAGAAUCUUGUGUUUUUGUAUUGCACGCUUCAACAUUUCCAUCUGACUUCACCAAUCCUCCCAAUCUGAUUUAAAAUUUCAGCAAGUCACUGUCAUAAAAAUUUAUCUAUGUAAAUUACCGAAUUACAUACAUCAUUUAUACUGCGUUGGCAUUUGAAUAUUUGAUCCACACACAAUAAUAAGUCUUACUGGACCAGAACCAAAUUGUUUGCAACUCUAGUAAUAAUUAUAUUGACCCAUAAAAAUUAUUUUACGGGCUUUAGAGUUGGGCUGAGUCGAGCCUGGGGUGACCUGAGUCCGGUUUGUUUAUUAAAUAAGCAUCCAUUUUUUAGAGCUUGUUUAGAGCUUCAAUGUCCUCCCAGGAUGUGCCUUCCUGACGCUCUGCUCUACUGGACUUAAGGUUGUUGGAUUUUGCGCCCCAUUCGAUAAAUGACCCUAUAAUCAACAAUUGCUAAAGGAAAUAUUAUGGGUUCAUUUCUUACAACAAGAAUUGAAAUCGUCUCUACUUCUCUCAUGGUGGUCCGGUGAAUUUCUUGAGCCUUGAAACAUGAAAUAUUUAUUUGACCGACAUUAGGAAGCUAUCAUACCAUGUAAAGAUUAGAAGAUAGAAGAAGAGUAGGACGAAUUGAAGAAGAUUAUAGAACACAUUUAUAUAGAUAGAAUACGCGAUCUGAACUAGAAGAAAAGGUAACUGUCAGUGCCAUGAUUUUGACAAUCUAUUCUAUUCACUAUAACAACGAUCACUGACUUGUUUUGAACCUUGGAAAGAUUUGUGAUAAAAUCAACAUAAAUGAAUAUUGAUGAUACCCCUGGUCCAUCAGACCAGGCUCAUCCCCGACCAGGCUUACUUGACCAGUGAAAGAAGGCCCGGUCCAGUAGGAAAGUGUAUAAAUACCCCUAGGGGUUGGUUGGAUGUAGAAGGGGAGAGAAACAUUGAGAGUACACUUGUAAUAGAGAUUGUUUGGUAUAUACUCUGUACCACACCAUCAAAUAUAAAUUCAGAUAUCCUUAACCAUGCCUUUCUACUAAAAUUGAGUAGUGAUUCUUCUGAUGAUUCUUUUCAAUCAAUUCAGAUGAGUUUCUUUUUAAGUGAUCUUUGCUAGUGAAAUUCAGAACCUUGUUAGAGCUUUCAUUCAACUUCUUUGCUUCUUCUGAUUUCUAAUUCUCUUUAUUUCUUCAAUUAAGGAUCCUUUGAUAUUAUCAGUCUUAUUUAUGAACAAAACCUCCUCCUCUUCCUCCUCGUGACACCUGAAGGUAAUGAGAUGCUCCUCUUACAAUAAAUUACCUGGAGUCUUAAGUUACACACAUUAGUUUCCACUGUAAAAAACUUAGUGAAAUCAGGGAAUUUUAAAAUUGGGGCUUCAAUCAUGGCUAAUUCAGACCCCAAAAAAUGAAUUUUUCUUUAGGAGAUCAGUCAUAGGAGAAUCAAUUUCAACAAAUCCUCUUGUGAAUCUUCUGUAAUACCUUGUGAGGCGGCCUAGAAAUUCUCUUAAUAAUUUCAGAGAUUUAACGAAAGACCAAUCCACCAUAGUUCUAAUAUUUUGUUGGAUCAGGGUUUACUCCUUUCUUACUGGUAAUUAUAUGCCCUAAAAAUUACAUAGAUUCUUUGCCAAAAGAACAUUUGGAUUUCUUUGUCAAUAGAUGAUUCAUUUUUAACACUUCAAAAUUUUUUGUAGAUGCUUGAUGUGAUCAUUAAGUGAGGUACAAUAAAUCAAAAAUAUAUAUAUCAUCAAAGAAGACUAUCAUAACUUUUCUCAAAUAUUUAUGGAAAACUCUGUUUAUUACCGUCUGAAAAUAUGUCGGUGCAUUGGAUAGCCUAAACUCUAAUCCUAACCCAAAGGUUCACUAUUAUUUAUCCAAGAGAUCCCUUUCCAUACUCUUUGCCCUUCCACUCAAAUUUCAUACACAACUCCUUAUAAUUAGAUAUCACAUCGAAUUUGUUUAUAGUGAGCCGAACCUUUAUGCGUCAUCUUGCAUUGAAAUCACUCUCGAUCAACCUGCAAUUGUCAUCCUAUGAACAGUAUUAUGUCACUCACGCAAACUUAUAUUUGAACUUGUUAGAAUUAUAUAAUUAUGAUGUAUAUUAUCCAAGUAAUGAAAUGUAAUGCAAUAGUUUAUAUAUGAUAAUAUUUGAACUUGCUGAAAAGUAAAUGACAAUACAGAUUCGAGAAGAUUGAGAUGAUUGCAGGAUGUAGAUGUUGGAGAUGAUGAAGACGAUGAACAGAUCGGAUGGAUGAUCACCAGAUGAACAGAUGACUUGAUCAGAUGAUUCAGAGAGAGCAAGACAGAUUAUUGAAGAAGACAAAUUGCUGAAGCCAAAUUCCAGAAGAUUGAUUUGGAUUGCGAGACAUAUUCAAAGAGAAUUACUUGAUGGCAAAACCUUAAUGUUUGUCUUGGGUUAAUUCUGAUUUAUAGGAGGUUUGCUCCAACGACUAAAUUAGUUUAACUGGUGGUUGGUGUAAUCAAUGUUGGAUUUAAGGUAAUUGAUGGAUUAGGAAAAGAUAUUGGACUUGGUUAAAGUUCCUAGUUAGUAUAGGGUUUAAAUGUAAUUUUCCUAAUAUAAUUCUAAUAGAACUACGUCCAUUCAGAGUUCAGACCAAUCCUGACCCGACUCGGCCUGGUCCGAGGGAUAGAAGAAAAUCCAUAAAUAUCAAUCUUUUAAAAGGAGAAGAUGAAGCACUGAAUCGAUCUGCUACCAAGGCUCGCGGUGGUGCGAGGUGAUGCCGGAGACUCUGGAGUCCACGACGCGCGCUCUACGUCAAAUACCUGCAAGUAGAAACUAGGUGAUUCUAGUGAGAAUCGGAGAGUUUCUUAGUGAUGCUCUGGUGAGAGUGGAGCUUGUGUUGUGCCUUUGAGUGUCCCCUUGGGACCCUUUUUAUAGGGUCUCGGAGGGCGUGAUCAAAGGCGGACAUCGCGCCUAUGGUCAUAUAUGGAAACAUUUAUGACGUUGGCUGGCGGCGAGUAACGGUCGUAAGUCGGCGAUUCAGGUAUGAAAAUCGCCUAUUUAGGGCAAACUCGCCGAGUUUCCAGGGGCGAGAUGUGUAGUCUACCAUACUGCCGAUCUGGGCCCUAACUCGGCGAUUUGUCCCUAAAGUCGGCGACUUGGUAGUCCAAUCGUGACUUACGGGCUAACUCGGCGAUUUGGACGAUGAAUUUGUUCCGCACCGUGGGAGCUCUCCGGAGGUCCGGCGUAAAGCGACGGAACCCUAGUCCUUGUUGAAAAGCGUUGCUGGGAGUGACUGCCGUAAUUAGGCAUGUCUCACCAGUACUCCCCCCUGAAGAGAGCACAAGAAACAUGCUUGUAUAGCCAGUACCCCCCCCUCCAACCAAAGUUCAAUGUGUGAUCCGCAUCAAGGCCGAAGCGACAAGAUGAAAUCGAAUCAUUCCGCUCACAGUGACGUACUGAUUCUGUAUCCAUUAUGGCCUAAGCGACAAUAAUGGAUUGACUCUGUAGGGUCGAACCGACAGAAUCGAGUUCCAGGCCAACGGAACUACCUGUUUAUAGUCUAACCCUGAUCAAGAGCGACUGCACUGUGUUUAUCAAGGUCGGAGCGACAAGAUUAAUUCCGGCCGAAGCGACGGAACCUGAUUCAGGCCGAAGCGACAUAAUCGAGUUCUAGCCAAAGCGAUAGAACCGAGUUCUAGCCAAAGCGAUAGAACUAAUGUUUAUAGUCCACCCUGAUCAAGAGCGACUUUUAUGUCCGCAACGACGGUUACCCCCUCAUGGUCUAAAGCGGCAAGACGGGUUGAGACCAUUAAGACCAAAGCGACAGAAUGAUCUCUAGUCUAUCAAGGCAAAAGCGGCAGGAUAAAUUGACUCACUAUCAGAGUUUGAUUCUGGCCGAAGCGACAGAAUAAUACUUGCAAAAAAGAAAACAUCCUGCAAAACAACUAUAUCAGUCUAAGACGCAUAUUAUUAUUGACCAAUUGAACUUAUCGUGCGAUUUUACCUCUCGUGAUAUUCUUCUUUUGCUCGAACCAAUCCUAAUUGGUAAAUCUGGCCGAAGCGAUAAAUUUUACCGUGCUUAUUUUGACGACUCAAUUCUGUCCGGAGCGACAGAAGUGUCGGGAAAGCUUGUAAUACUCCCCCCUGAAAUUUGACGAUUUCCCGCCGAAGCGACAGAAAUGUCGGGAGAGCUUGUGAUACUCCCCCUCGAAGUCUGACGAUUUCCGGCCGGAGCGAUAGAAAUGUCGGGAGAGCUUGUGAUACCCCCCUCGAAAUUCGACGAUUUCCGGUCGGAGCGACAGAAAUGUCGGGAGAGCUUGUGAUACCCCCCCUCGAAAUUCGACGAUUUCCGGCCGGAGCGACAGAAAUGUCGGGAGAGCUUGUGAUGCUCCCUCUCGAGAUUCGACGAUUUCCCGCCGGAGCGACAGAAAUGUCGGGAGAGCUUAUGAUGCUCCCCCUCGAGAUUCGACGAUUUCCCGCCGAAGCGACAGAAAUGUCGGGAGAGCUUAUGAUACUCCCCCUUUAACACCUGCAUAAAAAUGUGUCGUAUUCUGGCUGAGGUGGUAGGAGUGUCGGAGAGAGUUUGUAAUACUCCCCUCGAAUUGUGACAACUUCUGGCCGAAGCGACAGAAGUGUCGUGGAGAGUUUGUGAUACUCCCUUUGGAAUGAGACGACUUCUAGCCAAGACGACAGAAGUGUUGAUGAGAGUUUAUGAUACUCUCCUCCAAAGAUGGGCGAGACGACUUCCGGCUAGAGUGACAGAAGCGUCGGAGAGAGUUUGUGAUACUCCCCCUGAAAUCGUGCCGUUGUGACAGAUUGUAGAGUUAUGUUUUGGAUGUUUCUGCCCGAGGUGAUAGAAGUAUUGAGGAGAGCUUGUGAUACUCCCUUCGAAAGUCAACCCGACAACUUUUAAAAUAUUGGUGUAACGAAAGUAUUGGAGAGAGCUUGUGAUACUCCCCUCGAGAAUCAUGUCGUCGCGACAUAUGAAAUGAUUUUUCGGAAUAUUUUGCAAUCUUUCUAUUUUGAUUAUCAAUGAACUAUCUUUUGUCUUUUCUUUGCUAAUCUUCCAUAUAAAUCAUCUUUAAAUUGUAACCUAGGCUUGAAACUAGAUUCACAAGCCGUAACUUAGCCACUCUGGACGUAAGUUAGACUCUGCUAACCCUCGCUUAGCCACUCUGGACGUAAGCUUGGUCGUACGAAUCGUAGUUCAGUCGUCAGUUAAAUUUACGGAUAAUUUAUAUCUUCAAAUUAAUGUAGAGUUACAAAGAAUAGUACAAAUAAACCAAAAAUUAAGAUGCACAAUAUUAUUUAGAAUCCUGGGGUUAGAUCCGCAAUUUAGGACUACAAUUCUAGAUUUGAACCCUGGUGUUUUAGCCAAGCUCCGGCCAUAGCGGUAGAGCGAAUCUCGAUCCUCAUCAAGGCAUUAGCGACAAGAUGGGAUAGGAUCAUUUAGGCCAAAGCGACAAAAUGACCCUUGCUCUAUUAAAACCAUAGCGACAGAAUAGAUUUAAAACCGGGGUAUCAUUGAUUGUAGUCGUAAAUUUAGAAUCUCAGGGUUAGAUUCGUAAAUCGGAGUCGUAAUUUAGAUUCUUAAGUCGCACCUUGGACUUGUAAAUCGUAAACUUGACUUGUAAUCGUAAUUUAGACUUUUUGUCGUAAAUUAGAUUUUGUAAUCAUCACUUAGACUCGUGGGUCGUAAGCUAGAUCUGAGUAACGGGUGUCAUCCAGCUAAAGCGAUGGAUUGAUCUCUAUGAAAUUAUCCUUUGUUGGUUUGCCGUAUUAAUCCUAGAACCGUAACGUAGGCUCGAAACUGGACUCGUAAAUCGUAAUUUAGACACUCUGGCCGUAAACUAGAUUUUGUAACCCCCACUUAGCCACUCUGGACGUAAGUUUGGUUUUGUAUCCCCCACUUAGGCACUCUGGCCGUAAGCUUGGUUGUAAUUAAGAGUCGUAAUUCAGACAAUUCCCAAACCGACUCAGAAUUACAAAAAAUCAUAGGUGUAUUUACUUUUCAUCGUAAUUUAGACUUGUACGUCGUAAAUUAGAUUUUGAAAGAGAACUUAGAUUCGUAAAUAUUUGAAAUCUUAGGGUUUGAUUCGUAAAUAUUCGUGAGUCGUAAUUUAGAUUCUUAAGUCGCAUGUUGACUCGUAAAUCGCAAACUAGACUUGUAAUCGUAAUUUAAACUCUUUGUCGUAAAUUAGAUUUCGUAACUAUCAUUUUGACUCUUGGGUAAAAUAGAUGAUAGAUAAGGUCGAAGCGAUGGAUGUCACCCAGCCGAAGCGAUGAGUGAUUGAUCCGUCUGAAGUGAUGGAUGAUUAUUCUAAAUGUGGCAUACAUAUCGCAUAAUACCUCCACGGGUUAAAGGAGACAUCUACUUAGAAUAAUAUCGUUAUUACAUGGUUGAGAACAAUAGAAGUGACAACCAAAAGAAUAUAUGAGUUCCUUUGAUGUUUGGUUGCCACUGUCGGAUGCAUAGCCUAUCUGGUUACUUUGGCCAAUCCUAUCUUUCUUCUGACAGAUGAUAGUUCCCCACUAUUAGCGUGACACACUCGAUUGUGAGUGUGAGCUGUGUCUUUGGUUGUCAUCACUGUUAUAGGAUUGAGAACGUAGGCUAUGACUUUGGUGGCCACAACUGUUACCAGAAUGAGAGUGUGAGUUAUGACUUUGGUAGCCAUAACUGCUACUGGAUUUAGGGUGUGAGCUAUGACUUUGGUAGCCAUAACUGCUACCCGGAGACUUCUCGCUGUAUCGAAGAAGAUUAGUCGAGGUUUCGGAUUGAGAACUUGUAUCCUCGUAUGUAUCUUCUUUAGCAUAGCGAGGUUUCUUCCGGCUGGACGGCUCGAGUUCGUCUAGCUUGUCAUUGUCCUCCUCUUCUAUCUCAAUAUACGAUUGAGCUCGUUGGAAGAGGUUGGGCAGGGUCUCCACUUUAUGGAGCAUUAGAUUCUGAGCCAAAGGGGAGAAGGGUACCAACCCUCUCACGUAUCCUGCUAUGGCCAGACUUGGGAUUAGGUCGUUCACUUCUGUCAUCAUCGAAGUGAACUUAAUCGUGUAAUCCUUCAGAGACAAUUUGUUCUGUCGUAGUGCCAGUAGUGUGUUGGCACUGUGUUUUAUUCUGAUCAUCCCCACAUGUUGGGCGAUGAACUUGGAAGAGAGGUUCGCGAAGCUGGAGACUGAGCCAGCCGGCAGACCGGAAAACCAUUGAUAUGCGUUGCCUUUCAGAGUGCCAGGGAAGGCCAGACACAACAACCCAUUAUCGGUAGUUUGCGGCUCCAAGAUAUUCAGGUAGAGGUUAACAUGAUCCUCUGGAUCUGUCGUUCCAUCGUACAAGUCUAUCUUCGGACACCGCCAAGAUUGCGGAAAAGGUUUUCUCAGGAGGUCCCUAUGAAAGGGUGCCCUUCCUAUUCUGAGAAAAUCAUGUGGGUCCCUUAUAUCAUGCUUGUCUUUACGAAGCACUUCCUUGAUUACCCUAUUCAUGAGUGUGGCAUCGUAAUCCGUACUAGUCGUGGAACUCGAAGGUAUACCCGAGUGAUAUAUUGCGGACCUGUGGUGAGAACUGAGAUGUUGUGUCUCUUUGUUUCACCGUGGUUGUCUCCCGUAGGAGAGUGAUGCGAGUUGGAUUUGGGUUGCCCUGAGAUUGCAGGACUCUUUCCCUUGAGCUCUCAAAGCUCCUUGGAUAUCCUUGAUUCGGACCAAUGAUGUGUACUUAAGUUUGUCUUCCUCAAAUGUGGGUUAGACUUGCUUGUCGUACAUCGUAUGGUGGUCCGGCUCAUUGAAGCCUCUAGGUUGGUUAUCCUUUUGUCCAACUUCAACAUGAGAGCAUGCAUGUGCGCAAGCCUCUCCUGUGUUGUCGGAGUUGGGUUCACACCCCCAUUUAGUGGGAGUGGUGAGGACACCUCAUGUGUAGGUGAUGGUGCAUUAGAGGUUGGUACAGUACGAGGACCAACCCUUCUGCUAGAAGCUCUUACCGCAGUAGCAGUGGCAAGAGCUUUCUUCUGACCCUUAGCAACAGGAUCCAUAAAUAGCAGGGAUAGUUGCUUCUACCGGGCUGAAGCAACGGGCAACGAGUAAAAGUUUUUCCGAAGUGUCGGAAGCUAUGGGUAGGUACCUGCCCCCCCCAGGUAUCACAAAACAGAAAAUUUUUGUAUGAUAUUUCUUUGCAGUUUUGUGACCCCCUUGAGGAGUACUACUAGUUCCCAAAGUUUGAAAUUAGCAAAAAAUGUCGCAAAUUUUUUGCAAUUUUUCGGCAGAAAAUCGUGCCGCCGGAGGUGAUUUCUGGGAUGCCUGUUUAGACCUAUCCCAGAAAAGAUUUCUGCCACUCUUUGGAAAUCGUAGAGAAAACUUUUUUCACGUAAUAUGUGGUCUCAGAACCUCAAAAUCGGAUCUGGGAAUUCCGGAGGUGGACCGACGAAAUCACUGGAAGUGAAAAAAGGCGAAAAACCCAAUAUUUUUUUUUUACCGAAACGACGAGGCGAAUCCAACCGUGACAAUGGAUUUUCGUUUCGGUCAAAAAGCUGGGCUAUGAGUGGUCUUAUUCAGCCAAAGCGAUGAAUGAAGACGAUGAUCGAAUGGACGAGUUUGCCCGUAAAUAGGCGAGUUUGCCCUUAAAUAGGUGAGUUUGCCCCCAAAUAGGCGAUUUUUGCUUGGGAAAAAUCCAACCUAUGCGAAGACGUAAGUUCCGAAGCAAAGGAUGACUUGACCGAGCUUGUUCAAAAAACAAAGAAAUUAAGAAUCGGCGAUUUAGGGAUCUAAAUCGGCGACUUUGACUUUGGGAGUUUUUGAACAGAGUCGUGGACAGUACUCUUAGCUUAGCAGACGAUAUUCCGGAUCGGGCGAUUCUCAAGGCUAAGUCGGCUAUUUAAGAAUAAAUCGGACCUGAGCCGAGAAUCGGCUAUCGAUCUAAAUCGGCGACUUAGUUGACAAAGUCGACGAACCCUCCGAGAGAGCUCGAGCCGGACUUUGCAAAAAAAAUCGUGAUUACGACGGGAUACCAGUGGUUCGGUAGUCCCACAGACGGCGCCAGCUGAUGAAGCACUGAAUCUGCUACCAGGGCUCGCGCUGGUGCGAGGUGAUGUCGGAGGCUCUGGAGUCCACGACGUGUGCUCUACGUCAAAUACCUGCAAGUAGAAACUAGGCGAUUCUAGUGAGAAUCGACGAGUUUCUUAGUAAUGCUCUGGUGAGAGUGGAACUUGUGUUGUGCCUUUGAGUGUCCCCUUGGGACCCUUUUUAUAGGGUCUCGGAGGGCGUGAUCAAAGGCGGACAUCGCGCCUAUGGUCAUAUAUGGAAACAUUUAUGACGUUGGCUGGCGGCGAGUAACGGUCGUAAGUCGGCGAUUCAGGUAUGAAAAUCGCCUAUUUAGGGCAAACUCGCCGAGUUUCCAGGGGCGAGAUGUGCAGUCUACCAUACUGCCGAUCUGGGCCCUAACUCGGCGAUUUGUCCCUAAAGUCGGCGACUUGGUAGUCCAAUCGUGACUUACGAGCUAACUCGGCGAUUUGGACGAUGAACUUGUUCCGCACCGUGGGAGCUCUCUGGGGGUCCGGCGUAAAGCGACGGAACCCUAGUCCUUGUUGGGAGUGACUGCCGUAAUCAGGCAUGUCUCACCAGGAGAGAAGACGUUACACUUGACACUUGUAUUACAUUAGAGAGAGAAAGAUGUUAAACCUUAAUCCAAUCUUGUAAAUUCAUCUUCGGCCUAUACACUACCAGUAAACUUUAUCACAUAGGAGUUUAUUUGGAUACUCCAAAUGGGUGUAUUUUAAGGGUUAUCCCUAGGGCUGUAAAUGGGUCGGGUCUGAGACUGAUUUACAACCCAUUUACAGCCCUAGGUAUCCCUAAAAUAAAAUAAAUCUAAAAUUUUAUCUUGUCGAUAACCCUAGUAUUCCAAAAUUUCAGCUGUUCUUAGUUUAUCCCGCUGUUCAAUUAAUCCUCUAUCGCGAGUGAGUGAUUCAUCUUCAUAUUGAAAGGAUGGUAUAUUGUUUUGACUUUUUUACAUCACAAUGUAUUGAUUUAUUUCUACGGUCGAUUAAUUUUAGAAAUCUGGUUUGUUUCAUUCUAUAAUUUUAAUCAUUUCAGUAUAAUGAUAUGGUCAAUGGGUUUGAGUUCGCACCCACCUCCAUGUGGACAGGGGCUUAUCCGGGGGGCAACCCUAAAAGUUGGAAAAAAUUGAGGAUUUAUAUGUAAUAAUUUUUUUAUAUAGGAUUAAAUAUAAUUUUUACAAUAUAUUAAUAUUUUUCAAGGAUUAAUAUAUAAAUUUCACAAUACUCUCUCCCCUUUCUCCUCUCACGUUUCACAAAUCCUAAUCUUCUCCGGGAAUCUCUCCCCCUACUCUUCUCCCCCAAAACUCUAAUCUUCUCCGGCCUCCGGGAAUCUCUUCUUAGAUUCUUCACUGUUGUUUCUGCCUUGCUGGAAAUCUCUUCUCCAGUUAUCUCUCCGUUGCUACUUGCUGGAAUCUCUCAUUUCUCUGGUAUUUAUUUUUUGAUCUUGUUUGUUGUUUCUACGUAUUAUUUGGGUCUGAUGGAUAUGAUACGAUGGUGAUGGUCUGAUGGAUUUUAUUGAUGUUUGAUUUAGUUAGUUGAUUAGUCGUCAUACGAAGUUAGGUUCUCCGGUCUGCAUAUGAAGUUAGAACUCACAUGUUAAUGUUCUGUUUUUGAAAAAGAAAAGCACAUUAAGAGUUUUCUUUUCAUCUUCGCACAUAUAUUCAAGUUUGGGAAUGUUGAAAAUUGACAGCGGUAUUGUUCCUGAUAGAUUGUUGAAACUCAAAUUCCUAAAAAAUUCCAAGGAUGUGAAUUUAAUGAUUUUAUAUUGAUGAAUUGUGCUGUUAAACAAAUGGAGAGUAUAAAAAAAAUAAAACUUAAAGAUAUGCCAAAUUUUCAAAUUCCCCAAUGCUGGAUCCUGGAUGGAAUCGGACCAGCUAUUCUAGCGUUUCUUAAAAUCCUAUUAUCAUUCAAACACAGCUAAAAUAUAAGUAUUAUGUAAAUAAAAAAAAUAUAAAUAGAUAGAUCAUAUAUAGAUGAAUCUUUCUUAAUGGUUUAGACUUUAGGGUUAAUGUAUUGGAUAUUCCUAAAUCAAUUUGAAUAUUAAUUAAUGUAUUGAAUAUUAAUUAUGGAAUGAAUGUAUUGAAUUUUUAUAGAUUUUUAUAAUCUAUUUCAAGCUUUUUCAUGCGACCAUGUGCUGGAGUGGGUUACGCGGAUCCGGGUCGGAUCCGUCUAACCCAAAAACCCAUUUACCCUAACCUUAAAAUAAUAAAAGUCUAUCUAUCUAUUGGGAAAAUCCAUCCUGCAGUAACCCUCGCCCUCCGCCCCCUUCUCGUUCUUCUUUCCCGUUCUUCUUUCUCGUUCUUCUAUAAUAUGAUAUUUUAUUAAUAGUUACUAUAAUAUGAUAUUUUAUUAAUAGUUACUAUAAUGUAAUAUUUUAUUAAUAGGUACUAUAAUGUAAUAUUUUAUUAAUAGGUACUAUAAUGUAAUAUUUUAUUAAUAGGUACUAUAAUGGAAUGUUUUAUUAAUAGGUACUAUAAUGUAAUAUUCUAUUAAUAGUUUUAUUAAACUAGAUGUAUAUAUUUUUUAAUACAUGAUUAUUAAUAGUAUUUUGUUUAGGUACCCAUAUUUUCAGGCGACCGCCUAGGCGGCCAUGCGGUCAUGGCCAUCGCAUGAACGCCUGAAAAAGCUUGAUCUAUUUUAUGAAUAGGUAGUGCCAAAAUUUUUAUAGGUUUUUAAAUUAGUACAAAAAAAAUUUCCCGCCUUCGGCAAUUCUUACCCCCCUGUCGGGCAAUCCUGGACACGCCACUAUAUGUGGAUCCGCCAAUGUUCUCAUUUCUUCACUACCUUAUUGAUUUUGUUUAUUAAUUUCAUAUUUCCCCUCCUUUCUAUCUAUCCUUCUACAGACCUCUUUCAGAAUUUGUUCUUCUUGCACAAUCUGUAACUACUAACUACGAACUGUGAGAUCUGGGAUUUGACAUCCAAAAAUUCCCAUUUUAAUUUCUUAGGUUUUUUCCUAUCCAAAUUAUCUGUCAACUGUCAGAUGAUUUUAUGCAAACACUUUCUAAUAUUUGCUUGUCGACAUCCUAUUUUGGGUUUGUAGCUUGAUUAAAUUUUCAUUUUUUAUCGUGUAAUCUAUAAUGUAUUACUCUCGGUAAUCAAGCUUAUCGACUUCAGCUCUGAUUUUUUGUUUCAUGUCUGCAGUUAUUUUAAGACCAAGCCACUGUCUUCAAUAACACGCUAAAAAAGCAUGGCCUCCCGUUUCUGGACUCAGGUAAUCACUGCUUGUGUUUUUUCCCCAAAGAAAAUACUAAAAUAGUGCUCCCUUCUUGGUACCCUUUAUUUUGAAGACUUAUUUAUUUCUCUUGUGAUGAAUUACCAGGGUGGUAGUGACACCGAUGAAGACGAAAGUGAGUAUGAAAUUGAUUCAGAGGAUGAGGUCGAGCCAAGUUCUGGUGCAAAACCAGCAAACCGUUAUCUGGAGGAAAAUGCCAGUGAUAGCGAUGACUCUGAUGGCCACAAACGUGUGGUGCGCUCUGCCAGAGACAAGCGCUUUGAUGAAAUGUUAGCUACUGUAGAUCAGAUACGGAAUGCCAUGAAGAUCAAUGAUUGGGUAAGCCUGCAAGAGAGCUUCGACAAAAUUAACAAACAGCUAGAGAAGGUCAUUCGGGUGAUGAAAACCGACACGGUCCCCAAUCUUUACCUCAAGGCUCUAAUCAUAUUAGAAGAUUUUCUUGUCGAGUCCCUGGCAAAUAAGGAUGCCAAGAAGAAGAUGAGCAGUAGCAAUGCCAAGGCAUUGAACUCAAUGAAGCAGAAACUAAAGAAGAAUAACAAGCAGUAUGAGGAGGCGAUUACAAACUACAGACAGAAACCCGAAACUGAGAGUGAAUCGGAGAGUGAUGCUAACGACUCUGAAUCAGUUUCAGAAUUUGAGGAAGAUCCAACAGCAGCUGCACCCUCCGAUGAGGACAACGUCGAUGACCAGGAUCAAAAUGAUAAGGGUUGGGAGCGACAGAUGAACAAAAAAGACAAACUUAUGGACAAGCAGUUCAUGAAGGACCCAAGUGAGAUCACAUGGGAAAUAGUUGACAAGAAGUUUAAAGAGAUUGUGGCUGCAAGAGGUAAAAAGGGAACCAGCAGAGCUGAGCAAGUUGAGCAGCUUACAUUUUUGACUCGAGUUGCAAAAACGCCUGCUCAGAAGCUUGAAAUCUUGUUCAGUGUGAUAUCUUCCCAGUUUGAUAUCAAUCUGAGUAUUAGUGGUCACAUGCCUAUAAAUAUUUGGAAAAAGUGCUUAGACAAUUUCCUAGGUGCGUUAGACAUCCUUGAGCAGAAUCCAAACAUAGUGGUUGAUCAAUCUGCCGAGCCUGAAGAUAAGGAAUCACAUAAAGAUUCAGAUUAUGAAGGAACCAUCCAUAUCUCAGGGAGCUUAGUAGCUUUGCUUGACCGGCUAGAUACUGAAUUUUACAAGAGCUUGCAAUGCAUUGAUCCCCAUACCAAGGAGUAUGUUGAUAGACUUAGAGAUGAGCCUAUGUUUUCUCUUCUUGCCCAAAAUGUUCAAAGAUAUUUGGAAAAAAUGGGUGAUCUUAAAGGAGCUUCCAAAGUGGCUUUGAGACAGGUUGAGCUUAUAUAUUAUAAGCCUCAGGAAGUUUAUGACUCGAUGAGAAAGCUAGCAGAACAUGAAGCUCUUGACAGAGAACUUGGUGGAGAUGAGAAUCAAAAUGCCGAAGAAAUCAAAGGACCUUCUGCAUUUAUUGUUAUCCCAAAAGUUGUUCCACGGAGUCCUACGUUCCCAGAAAGUAGCCGAGCAUUGAUGGAUAGAUUGGUUUCCCUUAUAUACAAGAGUGGUGAUGAAAGGACAAAGGCUCGAACAAUGCNNNNNNNNNNNNNNNNNNNNNNNNNNNNNNNNNNNNNNNNNNNNNNNNNNNNNNNNNNNNNNNNNNNNNNNNNNNNNNNNNNNNNNNNNNNNNNNNNNNNAUCUUUUACUGAUGAGUCAUCUCCAGGAAGGAGUCCAACAUAUGGACAUAUUGACACAAAUGCUGUUCAAUAGGGUGAUGGCUCAACUUGGUCUCUGUGCUUUUAGAGCUGGCCUUACUAAAGAAGCUCACGGAUGCCUUUCUGAACUCUAUUCAGGUGGAUACAAUUUGCAGCACACCUAGCGGGGAAUAAGCUAGAUCACUACCUCACUGGGAAGGUUGUGCUGAACACUGCAGUAACGAUAAGGCAAGACAAAUUGAUUUUAGUCUGGAUUAUAUCGUCACUGACCGCACCAAUUCUAUCGGUGGUAGCAAAUUGUGCAACUGCAUAAGAGGCUUGGAAGAGGUUACAGAUGGAGUUUGCAUCCAGCUCAAGGUCAAGAGUCCUUAGCAUACGCCAAAAGCUCCAAAGUUUGAAAAUUGGAGGGAGAUCCAUAACAUAAUAUUUGCAGGAAAUCGAUGGACUGUUAGAAACAUUAUCUGUGGCAGGGGAGGUAAUUACAGAUGCUGAUGUUAUUUUACUAGUUUUGGCAGGGCUUGGAGAUGAAUUUGAGGCCACAAUUCAGAAUGUGACCACAAGGAGAGUGGAGAUCUCGUAUAGAGAGUUAAAAGCAAUCCUAACUGAUGUUGAAAUCAGGAGAGGAAGAACUAAUACAACUUCUGCCCUUAGCGCGAACAUUGUUGAAGCUGAAAACCCUAAGAAGACAGGUAAGAGUUUUUACAAAACAGUACUUUGUCAAAUCUGUUCAGGAAAAGGGCAUGGAGCAUUCAAUUGCUACAACAAAUUGAAUAUCACUAAGUUUUCUCCAACACAUGGGAGAAAACUCGAUUCAGAUGGUCUGGCCAACAAGAUGUCAGCCAAUAUUGUGCAGAAAUCAACAUCAGUUUGGUACCCUGAGGCAGGUAUGAUUGAGGAAAUGUCUGUGAAUGUUAUGUAUGAGAACUGUGAAAAUGCAGGGCAAGAGAACACUGAGAAUUCAGUGAAUAUGGUGUCAAAUGCAAGGGCUUGGUUUGCUGAUUCUGGCUCAACAAACCACAUUACAGACAGAAAGGCAGAUAUUCAAGAUGGGUUGGAUUGUGAGAAUUCCAUCAACACUGCCGAUGGACAUCCUAUGAGGAUUGUUCACUCUGGUAAUUCUUUUAUUUCUAUCAAUAAAAGAAAGUUUUUUAUGAACCAGAUUUUAUGUGUACCUUUGCAUCAAAGAAUCUGAUUUCAGUAAAGAGAUUGUGUGCUGACAAUCAAGUGACUAUGGAAUUUGAUCCACAGAGGCUGUUAGUCAAGGAUAUCAACACUGAAGAAGUUCUGAUGAUUGGGAAGGAAAGUGGAGGACUAUAUCAAUUACCUAUACCUAUAGGAGGUUCAGGGAUGCAAAUUAAUCAAAUGGAGUUGGGGAUGAAAGCCACUGCUAGAGUGUGGCACUUGAGAUUGGGGCACCUACUCUCGAGGGCUAUGAAGCAACUCAACAAUCAGAAUUUAAUUAGAGUUUCAGAUACAAAUGAUAUCAAAAAUUUAUGUAAGGAAUGUUGUAUGGCAAAAACUAAGAGACUGAAACAUAAUAAAAGUACCUCAGUUUAUACUACUCCACUUGAACUUAUUUUUGCUGAUGUGUGGGGUCCUGCCCCGACUGAAUCCACAGAAGGAUAUAGGUAUUAUAUAAAUUUUGUGGAUAUUUCAACUAGCUACAAUUGGAUUUUCUUGAUGAGAAGAAAAUCUGAAGUUGAAGAAUGUUUUUUACAAUUCAAAUGCAUGAUUGAAAAACAGUAUGACAGGAAUAUAAAAGCUCUCCAAACUGAUAAUGCUAAAGAGUUUUUAAAACUGUCAAAAUUGUUAGGGAGUAAUGGAAUAAUACAUCGUCUUAGCUGUCCACACACUCACCCUCAGAUGACGAAGGUAGAGCACAGACACAAACAUAUAGUAGACACGGGGCUGGCUAUGUUGAAGCGUGCAGGGUUGGAAACACACUUCUGGGACUAUGCAUUCAUGGCAUAUGUCUAUCUUUAUAACAGAAACCCCACUGAAAUAUUAAAAGGUAUAUCACCUUAUCAAGCUUUACACCUCAAGUCCCUAGAUUAUUAUAAGUUGAAAAUAUUCGGAGCAGUGUGUUAUCCCAAUCUCAGACCAUAUAGGGAAAACAAAUUGAGUGACAAAUCAGCACCCUAUGUUUUUCUAGGAUAUCCAGUCAAUUGUGGUGGGUAUAUAUGCAUGGAUAUGAGGAAUGGGAAGACAUUGAUUUCCAGAGAUGUAAUCUUUGAAGAAAAUAAAUUUCAGUCAAAGAAAACAAUUAUUUCUCAGUCUCCAACGCAAUCAGUUCAGACAGAGGAGAGUGAGUCAGAUGAGGGUGAAGAAGAGUAUGAACAGAACAGAAUAAACGACAAUUCAGAACAGGAAGUGGCAGAUAUUUCAGAACAUGCAGUGGCUUCUGAAUCUACUACACAGUCUGGACUUCCUAUCACUUCUACUACAGAUGAGUUACCACUUACCACUAAUUCAGUACUGUAGAAGAGCACCUGUUGCAGUGGAAAAUAAUAUGGAUGAAAGAUCUGAUGACUCUGGAUCGAGCUCUGAAGAAGAGUAUAAUCCAAAGAUAGCAGAAAAUCCAGUGACAAAACACAUACCUAUCACUAGAGCAUCUAGGAGAAUAGUCAAGAAAAUUCAGAGAUAUGCUUGCAAUAUAUCUCCCACACCAAAACAAACCCCAGUGAAAUAUGCCUUGCAAGACCCUGAAUGGAAGACAGCAAUGCAGGAGGAAUACAAUGCUCUUGUGAGGAAUGGGAGUUGGGAACUCAUCCCAAGGAAUCCAGUGGAUAAUAUAAUCAACAGUAGAUGGCUGUUCAAAGUGAAAGAAAGGUCAGAUGGGACAGUAGAGAGGUUGAAAGCAAGAUUGGUGGCCAAUGGCACCAAUCAAGUAGAAGGACUGGAUUAUAAUGAGACAUUCAGCCCUGUUGUCAAGCACAAAACAAUCAGAAUAGUGCUUACAUUGGCUAUUUGGCUGUAUCUAAAAGUUGGUCACUUCAACAGGUGGAUAUAAGCAAUGCAUUUUUGCAUGGACAGUUAGAUGAAAGGAUUGUCAUGAGGCAGCCCAUGGGAUUUCUUGAUGAAGAAAGACCCACACAUGUGUGUCUACUGAAGAAGGCUCAGUAUGGAUUAAAACAGGCCUCAAGGAUGUGGUUUCGUAGAUUGAAACAAUUUUUGUAUCUAAAAGGCUUUGUGGCAAGCAGUAUCUGAUGAGUCACUGUUUAUAAAAUUUGGAGAGGAAGUCAUCUACAUACUUGUAUUUGUAGAUGACAUGGUCAUUACAGGCUCAAGUACUAAAGGCAUAGAAGUAUUUUUGAAUGAAUUAAAAUCUGAAUUUGCUGUGAGAUUGUGUGGAAACUUGGAGUACUUUUUGGGUAUCAGAGUUAGGAAGCACUUUAAUGGUUUAUUCUUGGACCAACAGUUAUACUUGGUGAAUUUCCUUAAUAAGCAUGGGUACGAAAACCUAAAACCCAUUGCUACACCUAUGCAACCUAAUACUGAUUUUUACUCAGAGGCAGAACAAAUUCAGAACUCUACUGAAUAUAGGCAGUUGGUGGGUUCACUGCAGUAUCUUACUACCACAAGGGCGGAUAUUUCUUAUGCAGUGAACAAGUUAGCUCAGUUCAUGGAGAAACCCAAAGAAAUACAUUGGCAGAUGUUAAAAAGAAUUCUGAGAUACCUAUCUGGUACACACAGCAUGGGGAUUGUGCUCAGAAAAACUUGUUCCAAUGAGAUUACAGCAUAUAGUGAUGCAGAUUGGGCAUCUGAUUCAACUGACAGAAAAAGCCAGAUUGGGCACCUCUUAUAUAUGGGUGAAUCACUAAUAGUUUGGUGUUCUCAAAAACAAUCUGCGGUGUCUAGGUCCAGCACUGAGUCAGAAUUCAGGGCAAUCACAGCUGCCACUGCAGAAGUUGAAUGGGUAUCUAAUUUGCUGAUAGAGAUGGGAGUAAAAGUAGAUACACCACAUAAACUGUGGUGUGACAACUUGGGAGCAACUCAACUGGCUGCAAACCCUGUGUUCCACACUAAAAUCAAGCAUGCUGCAAUUGAUUUCAAUUUUGUACAGGAGAGGAUGGAGAAGAAGGUUAUUCAAGUAAUUCACAUUCCAAAUACCAUGCAACGAGCUGAUACACUAACUAAGGCAUUAAAGCCGGCAUCAUUCAUGGAGCUAAGAGCCAACCUCAUCGGCUACCACAGAUGAGCUUGAGGGGGACUAUUAGUGAUAUUAAAUAAAGCUAUUUGUUUUCAUUUGCUUGUAAUUACAAAUUAGACCUUAUAAUACUAAAUACUAAUUGUAAUUAGUUAGUAUAAAUUAGUUCUUAACUGAAUUCAGUUAAGAUCUAAUAUUGAACUCAAGUGUAUAUAAACACAUCCAAUAUAUGUUUAGAGGGAUCAAUCACUUGAUUCCCACAUUUCCUAUCUUUCCAGUUUCACUCAUAAUUACCCACUGAAAAUCCAUUCUUCAUUAUUUCUCUCAUAGUCUAAUGUUCAUUUUAUUAUAAUUAUUUUCAUUUACUAUUUAUCAAUUGACUGUCUAUGCUAAUUGACUAUGGCCGUUCUUUGUCUAUUUAUUUGGAUGUCUUUUAUUAUAAAAAAAUACAGUGUGAUAAUUAGAUUUUUAUAUGUGAUUGCUGCUGUUAUUGUAAAUACAAUUGCCUUGUUUUCUUGUGUAAUCAUGAUGCAUUCAUUUGCAUAUUGAAUGUUUUCGUAGUGCAUCUUUUUAUGUUGUAAGAUAUGGAUUUAUUUGGGUUUGUUUUGUUUUUUGCAGGAAAAAAUCGAGAGGAUGAGACAAAUGCCCUACCAUAUGCACAUAAAUCUUGAGCUUCUAGAAGCAGUCCAUUUAAUUUGUGCUAUGCUCCUUGAGGUUCCCAACAUGGCUCUAAACUCAAAUGAUGUUAGACAGAAAGUGAUGAAUAAGAAUUUCCGUAGACUCCUUGAUAUUAGUGAACGACAGACUUUUGGAGGACCUCCUGAAAAUGUCAGAGACCAUAUAAUGGCUGCGGCAAAAGCUCUUAGAAAGGGAGAUUUUGAGAAGACCUUUGAUUUCAUCAGCUCCCUUGAUACAUGGAAGCUUUUGAAGAACAAAGAAAGUGUUCUGGCAAUGUUGAAAUCCAAGAUCAAAGAAGAAGCUUUAAGGACAUAUUUAAUUUCCAAUGCGUGUAGCUACGUGUCGUUGAGUUUGGAUCAUCUCAUUCUUAUGUUUGGUCUUUCUAACACACAAGUUCACAGCAUUGUGAGUAAGAUGAUGAUCACAGAGGAAUUGCAAGCAAGCUGGGACCAACCUGCAAAGUGUAUAAUAUUCCAUAGUAUGGAGCAAACAAGAGUGCAGACCCUCGCUUUCCAGCUUUCAGACAAACUCAUCGUUCUUGCUGAUAGCAAUGAAAGAGCAUAUGAGGUCCGAACAGGUGGUAGUUUGGAUGGGCUUCCUUCAAGACGGCG
Molecule: long non-coding RNA, 21703 nt
Filed under: Zostera marina
Lineage: Eukaryota; Viridiplantae; Streptophyta; Magnoliopsida; Alismatales; Zosteraceae
Description: long non-coding RNA (ZMAR_LNC001892)
Source: RNAcentral